RNAcentral lists this ribosomal RNA (807 nucleotides) under uncultured bacterium. RNAcentral describes it as "bacterial SSU rRNA". It matches the Rfam family "Bacterial small subunit ribosomal RNA", at positions 58 to 874 of the family's 1533-position model. The record is from RNAcentral.
CAAGUCGAACGGUGAACCCCGCUUCGGUGGGGGGAUCAGUGGCGAACGGGUGAAUAACACGUGGGCAACCUGCCCCCGGUCUCUGGGAUACCUCCAAGAAAUUGGGGCUAAUACCGGAUAUGACCGCUGACCGCAUGGUCUGGGUGGUGGAAAGAUUAUCGGCUGGGGAUGGGCCCGCGGCCUAUCAGCUUGUUGGUGGGGUAGUGGCCUACCAAGGCGACGACGGGUAGCCGGCGUGAGAGGGUGACCGGCCACACUGGGACUGAGACACGGCCCAGACUCCUACGGGAGGCAGCAGUGGGGAAUAUUGCGCAAUGGGCGGAAGCCUGACGCAGCGACGCCGCGUGGGGGAUGACGGCCUUCGGGUUGUAAACCUCUUUCAGCAGGGACGAAGCGGAAGUGACGGUACCUGCAGAAGAAGCACCGGCCAACUACGUGCCAGCAGCCGCGGUAAUACGUAGGGUGCAAGCGUUGUCCGGAAUUAUUGGGCGUAAAGAGCUCGUAGGCGGUUUGUUGCGUCGGCUGUGAAAUCCCGAGGCUCAACCUCGGGUCUGCAGUCGAUACGAGCAAACUAGAGUGUUGCAGGGGAGACUGGAAUUCCUGGUGUAGCGGUGAAAUGCGCAGAUAUCAGGAGGAACACCGGUGGCGAAGGCGGGUCUCUGGGCAACAACUGACGCUGAGGAGCGAAAGCGUGGGGAGCGAACAGGAUUAGAUACCCUGGUAGUCCACGCCGUAAACGUUGGGCGCUAGGUGUGGGGCUCAUUCCACGAGUUCCGUGCCGCAGCUAACGCAUUAAGCGCCCCGCCU